This 353-nucleotide long non-coding RNA is filed under the name Mytilus galloprovincialis (Mediterranean mussel). The record is from RNAcentral. Lineage: Eukaryota; Metazoa; Mollusca; Bivalvia; Mytilida; Mytilidae.
UAUCCACUUGAACAUUUCGAAGAAGUUUCAAAUAUUUUCUUACACUUGUCCGUUUGACAAAAUUAUAAUGCACACAACAUAAUUUUAUUAAGGGAGCUACCAUUUGAUUUUAGGGGGGGGGGGGGGGGGCUAGGAUGAAAUUUGAAAAAAAUAGGCAGGACAGGAGUUUUGAGUUAAAAAGAAGGCAGGAUGAGAAACUUGUUAAAAAAAAAGGCAGGAUGACAAUUUGUGUAAAAAAAGUCAGGAUAAACUAGUAAAAAAAAGGCAGGACCGAAUAGAGUAAAAAAUAAAAAGACAGACAGAGAUUACAACUAAAAAAAAAGCAGGACAAUAUUUUUCAUCCUAAGACCCCC